CAGGAAGAUGGACAAGAAUCUCACUGCUGAGAAUUCAAAUGUCUUAAAUUUUUUUUAUAUUGGAGGGUAAGUUUGGCUGGUGGAUUGUCAUCCUAUCUUUUCCAACCCAGAGUCAAUGACUCCUGGUCUAAAAGGACAGGAAAAUCUAUACCAGGGUCCCCUGGCUGUGGUUACAUAAUAAAGCAUGGAUUAGUAGUGAUUACCUUUUAGUGGAUGGAUUGAUUAAAUGAUCAUUUAUUCAUCCAUUCACUCAGUCAUCAUGACCACCAGCUUGCCCUCCACAGUUGCUAAUGUCUAGCCAUUCCUUAUCUAUUGGCAAGGAAUGCAAAUGGAAUCAGUUCUUUCUUUUGGGGCUGAGGUAAUAGUGGAAUGCUCCCUUACAGGAAGCUACCCGGGACUUCACAGGCCCUGUGCCAGUGACUUCCUUGAAACCAGGAAUAUUGAUUUGCAGAAAAGCUGUCAGUCCAGUCUUGAUUCUGAUAUCUUUCUACAAUAUGGCUUCAGACACUUAAAUAGGAAAUGUGUGUGAAGCAGGUACCUAUAAUUAGGCUUCUGAAUUCUGCAACUCCAGGUCACUCUGGGAGCAUAUGUCACCUCCUCACUCUACUUCUUAGUUUUUCUCUGAAGUUAGAUUAAUUCCUAGAUGGUGGGACCAAAUUUGAAUUGAACAUGUUUAUAGAUACAGCACAUGUCCAAGGAGGCAGGCUUCUCAGUGAAUUUACUGACUGGCUUACUGAUAAGGAUGCAUAAACCUAUUGGUGGUACUCAAUAUGACUGGGAGAAAACAAUAUAUGAAACUUGCAGGUGGCAUUUUAUAUUUGGAAGGAUCAGGCACUAAGAGAAAAUGCUCUUUCAACCAGGAGAGAAGGCUUAAAUAGAGAGUGACUUAUGUUGCUUAGAAGCAAAAUCCAGAGCUUUAAGACACUGGUUUUUACAGAAAUACAGAACAAAUAUAAGGCUGUCAUAUAGCAACGAAAGUAUACCUUAUGUAUUCAGAAGUCUGACUUUGUUAAUCUUGCGCCAAGGAAACACAUCCAGCACCAACAGUAAGUGAACCUCUGGAAAUAGUGGUCUGAAAUCUUCAUCCUUAGUUUCUCAGUUCUGUUCUUUUUUGUUUUGUUUUUGUAGUUUAAAGUUGUACCCUGAAUGAACACUGUUUUGUUUUUAUAAACCAUUUAUGUGUAUAAGUCAUAACCUUCUUAAAAA
RNAcentral lists this long non-coding RNA (1206 nucleotides) under Homo sapiens (human). RNAcentral describes it as "HSALNT0213541". Lineage: Eukaryota; Metazoa; Chordata; Mammalia; Primates; Hominidae. The record is from RNAcentral.